Molecule: ribosomal RNA, 403 nt
Filed under: uncultured bacterium
Lineage: Bacteria
Description: bacterial SSU rRNA
Rfam family: Bacterial small subunit ribosomal RNA
Source: RNAcentral
UUAGGAAUCUUGGGCAAUGGGCGCAAGCCUGACCCAGCAACGCCGCGUGGGUGACGAAGGCCUUCGGGUCGUAAAGCCCUUUUCCCAGGGAAGAUGAUGACGGUACCUGGGGAAUAAGCCCCGGCUAACUACGUGCCAGCAGCCGCGGUAAUACGUAGGGGGCGAGCGUUGUCCGGAUUUAUUGGGCGUAAAACGCUUGUAGGCGGCCACCGCGCGUCGGCUGUGAAAUCUCCCGGCUCAACUGGGAGGGGUCAGGCGAUACGGCGGGGCUCGAGGCAGGUAGGGGGAAGCGGAAUUCCCGGUGUAGUGGUGGAAUGCGUAGAUAUCGGGAGGAACACCAGUGGCGAAGGCGGCUUCCUGGACCUGAUCUGACGCUGAGGAGCGAAAGCGUGGGGAGCGAUCC